CCUACGGGAGGCAGCAGUGAGGAAUAUUGGUCAAUGGGCGCGAGCCUGAACCAGCCAAGUAGCGUGAAGGAUGACUGCCCUACGGGUUGUAACCUUCUUUUAUAAAGGAAUAAAGUGAGGCACGUGUGCCUUUUUGUAUGUACCUUAUGAAUAAGGCUCGGCUAACUCCGUGCCAGCAGCCGCGGUAAUACGGAGGAUCCGAGCGUUAUCCGGAUUGAUUGGGUUUAAAGGGAGCGUAGAUGGGUUGUUAAGUCAGUUGUGAAAGUUUGCGGCUCAACCGUAAAAUGGCAAUUGAUACUGGCAGCCUUGAGUACAGUUGAGGUAGGCGGAAUUAGUGGUGUAGCGGUGAAAUGCAUAGAUAUCACGCAGAACACCGAUUGCGAAGGCGGAAUACCGGCGCCCAACUGACGCGCAGGCACGAAAGCGUGGGUAUCGAACAGGAUUAGAUACCCCAGUAGUC
This 460-nucleotide ribosomal RNA is filed under the name uncultured bacterium. RNAcentral's name for it is "partial 16S ribosomal RNA". It matches the Rfam family "Bacterial small subunit ribosomal RNA", at positions 338 to 795 of the family's 1533-position model. The record is from RNAcentral.